AAAAUGCGAUACGUAGUGUGAAUUGCAGAUCUACGUGAAUCAUCAAAAUUUUGAACGCACAUUGCGCCGUCCGGUUUCCAGCCUGACGGCAUGCCUGUUCGAGUGUCACUUAUCUACUCAACUACCCCCUUUACCGGGUGUGCGAGUUGGAGAGUGAGCGUUUCGUUCGAACUUUUACCAGUUUGAACGCAUCGCUUCAAAUGUAGGGGCGCAACUCUUAGCGUGCAUCAAGCCGCCUCAUGAAACACAAUCACUUGUGAACACAACGUGGUUGCGUUUCUGGCUUGUUUUGCCAGUUGUACGCCGCGAACCGAGUGGCAGACAUCAAAUAGGGUACUUCACAGUCCCUUUUGAGCGUCGCAACUUUCUACAAUAUUUGACCUCGAAUCAGACAAGAUUA
This 400-nucleotide unclassified non-coding RNA is filed under the name uncultured fungus. RNAcentral's name for it is "sequence contains ITS1". The stretch from base 1 to 108 matches the Rfam family "5.8S ribosomal RNA", at positions 50 to 154 of the family's 154-position model. The record is from RNAcentral. Lineage: Eukaryota; Fungi.